Molecule: long non-coding RNA, 2928 nt
Filed under: Nicotiana benthamiana
Lineage: Eukaryota; Viridiplantae; Streptophyta; Magnoliopsida; Solanales; Solanaceae
Description: long non-coding RNA (NBEN_LNC026543)
Source: RNAcentral
UUACAGCACCCACUAUGUACACAUGUUUUACAUAAGUUCUUUAACCUACAUUAUGUGGUCAACAGAGCCUCUAAGAUGAAGAAAAUAAUAAAAUACUUUCUGGUGACAAGGCCCCAACUAUACCUUUACAAUUACAAAGGUGGCAUGAGCCACGCAGGGCUUCGGAAGGAAAGAGACUCACCAAUUACGAACACUGCCGAUAGAGAAAGAGGAGGAGCUAUAGACGCUGGACUGGAGUGCCUGCCACAAAUCCACCUACAAUCAUAACACGAAUAUAGCGCCCCCGACAACAGGGACGUCAGUACAUUUGAAUUGUAUUGGUAUGUGUGAACAAAGCCUGUCCCAAGUAAACUCAAGUCAAAGAUGCAUAUAAAAGUAGAGAGAUGAACAACAAUAGAAGCAACAACCAAGCACUUCACAAACAGAUGAUACAAUUAGCCAAAAAACGGGGCACUCAGUGCCCCACAUGUUACAUACUAUCCUGCUGUGUCCUUUCACAGUUCCACAUUGAUCAUUUCAUAAUUUCUGCUCAUUUCAAUAUUGAUAUUGGAUCACUUUUCCACCCUUAUUACCUCGGCCACCCUUAUCGCACCAACCCACACAUUAUUUCACCAUGUUGCGGUGCUCAACCCGACCUCCCCUGACAGUUUCAGCCUACAAACAACAUACAACACAUCAACAAUUACAAGAAAUCAACUAUUGCACAUUGUCAAGAUGUAACCACAACAAGGGGAGAAGUAUUUCCACAACUAACAACACCAAUUUCCUCAUGUUCACCGAUUCGUACACAAUCCGAGUUACCACAAUAGAUAUCCCUAACCAACCAUAUACGUUGUUACCAUAAUAGUUCUGAUUUCACCAUUUAAGGAUUCCCUUUAAUCAUAUGUUCCAAAACUUUUGCCACAAGAUGUUAUCCCACAAGUAUAAAUCACAAGAGUUUCUCAAUGACCCCACAUGGAUAUCAAGUAUCGACACUUUUCACACAUCAACACAGGGCGAUUUCACAAGGAUCAAAGUUAGCCAUACAUGUCGCACCUCCUUUUGCGUGCCUUACCCCGAGGGAUAAAAUGCACAAAGGGAGAUUUUCCAAUUUAAGUAACAAUAUUCGAAAUGGGAUUAUUUCUUUAAUUUCAGAGUCGCCACUUGGGAAAGGUUUGGCUUUUGGUCUCCCAUGUCACCGCUUUAUCUUGAAUCGCAAUUCGAGGAAAAUAUUCAACUUUCCAAGUGAAGUAUGCAAACCAGAAACUCUAAGUAAGGAAUUCUGUUGACCCGAGGGAAGGUGUUAGGCAUCUCCGAAUCCCGUGGUUCUAGCACGGUCGCUUAAAUUGUUGUAAUGGCUAAAUAUCUGAUUUUAAAACAUGCUAUGACUUAUGUGCUUUUACAAAGUUCAAAUCGCUUUUAUUAUUAUUUUAAUAAAAUUGCAAUGUCAUGAAAAUGUGCCUCGAACCAUGUCGCAAUCAAUGCAUCUAUGGAUUUUAAACACAUUUCGACUUCGUUGCGAUUCACAUUUGGGUCACAUAAAUGUAUACCCAAGAUUAGGGAGGUAAUAUUUAUUAAGGUGAAUCUUAAAGAUACUAACGCGCUAUUAUUUAGCGAAAAGCCAUGAAAUUCGCUAUGCAGGCUAUCUCGAAAUCUAAGCAAUUAUUAACAUCCAUUGAGGGCCCUUCGAUUUGUUUUUUGUUUUGGAGAGGCACACCUCAUUUAUAUUAAAGGAUAUCUUAAAGCGUCUACAUUUUUUAUUUCGUUACGUCUCUAAAUAAAAGAAGAAAAUACUUAAGUUAUUAAUCAUGCUCGAAACUAAGGAAAUACCUAAUUUAUUUACUUGCUUGGAACUAAGGAAAUACCUAAUUUAUUUACAUGCCUGAAAUUUAUUAUAAGAGGGCGUUGAAAACAACUUGUUAAAUCCGAAAAUGAUACAAUAAGGCUAUUCAUUUAGAAAUUUUAGACCUAGGCCCAAUGCGCAUAGUACGACACUUGACCCGGGCCGCCUAACUCAUGUAUUGUUGUUCAACUACAUCUAUCCUAUGUAUACUAAGGAUUUAACAAGCAGAGAAAUAUAAGAAUGCGGACAACCUAUUUGAAUUGAAAUAGCUUAAUUGAACUAUAUUAAAUUUAUUAGUGAUUAACUAACUAAGACGUGCUAUACUUUUAGAACACGAAAACUGAAAUAGCAUGGUAUCACUAAUACAUCAUAAUUCUUUUAAGAAAGAAGGACAUCCACAAUUUAAACUAUUACAGCUUACUGCUCAGUUAUACAUGGCAUCAAAUUACAUGAUUAUAGUAAACGCUACUAAUGAACUUAUAUACCCUUUAUGAUACAAAAAAACUAAAUGAAUAUAGAAAUUUAAAACUUCAUUUUUCAUUCAUGCUCUGUUUCAGCUACAUUGAACUAGUAUAUCGAAUAUGCGUACCUGGUAUUUGGAAAACAAAUAAGAGAGGACGAUCAGUGAUGAAUCAAGUAGUAGCACAACAAAAGCAACAGGCAACAGUAUACAAACAACAAUAGCAAUGAACCAAUGACACUAGAUGACCCAGGAAGGAUUUGAAAUCAAAUAGGACCCUUAAGGAAAUCAAAUGCAAUUUCCAGAAAAUCCAAAAUAGCAACCUCAAGUAUAGGACAAUUAUCCCAGAACCAAUAGCAACUCAACAACAAUGGAUCAGGGAUGCCAAACUCAGAACCAGAUUUGAAAAUCCAAACGACCAACUUGGGAAGAAACCAAAUAACGACCCAGGAAUAAGCUAGAACAAUAAACUUUGAUUUCUUUUUGAUAAAACUCUCAAGAACUGAACCUAAGUGUAAAAUUUGGCCUGCAUUUCACUCAAACUCUCUGAACUUCCUAUGUUAAAUACAGUCUUGUUUACUCUUAAAAUCAUUUUUGACGCCUAAAAUCUGUCCCUCAACUCUGUCCAGGUCUCUAUCAUUAAUAC